UCUAAUAUGGCAGAAUAGUGCAUUGGACUUAAACCCCAAAUAUAAAGAACUCCUUUUUUUAGAA
This 64-nucleotide transfer RNA is filed under the name Chilocorus rubidus. Its description in RNAcentral is "tRNA-Leu". It matches the Rfam family "tRNA". Rfam says of the family: Transfer RNA (tRNA) molecules are approximately 80 nucleotides in length. Lineage: Eukaryota; Metazoa; Arthropoda; Insecta; Coleoptera; Coccinellidae. The record is from RNAcentral.